CUACAUAAUGCCAACACUUGAGGAUGUUUUGCACAAACUGCCUAAAGCAUGGGUUUUUACACUUGUUGAUGCAAGAGUUGAUUUUCUACAGUGCAAACUGGAUGAAAAGAGUAGCUACGUGACCACUUUCUGGACUCCCUGGGGCCGAAAGAGAUGGCUCAAGCUGCCGUUUGGAGUCUCCGUAGCCCCAGAAGUAUACCAGCGAAAGCAACAUGAACUGUUAAGUGGGCUCCACGGUAUUGAACCAAUAGCAGAUGACAUUCUUAUAAUUGGCUGUGGUAAUACAGAUGAGGAAGCUGAGCAUGACCAUGAUGAGAAGCUAGUAGCAUUAUUGGAUCGCUGCAGGCAGGUAAUGCUGAGACUCAGCGUAAAGAAAUUACAAUUCAAGGUACAAGAAGUCUGCUUCCAUGGACAUAUCCUGUCUCAAAAAGGCUUGAAAGUUGAACCAGAUAAGAUUAGAGCCAUUGUGGACAUGCCACGGCCUGGUGACACCAAAGCAGUGCAGCGUUUUAUUGGCUUUGUCACAUACCUAGCAAAUUUCAGGUGUGUGAGCCAUUGAGAAGGCUUCUAGAUAAAGAUGCAGUUUGGCAUUGGCUUCCCAAGCAUGACCAGGCAGUGGAGGAAAUAAAACAAUUGAUCACAGCUGCCCCAGUGCUAAAAUAUUAUGAUGUAAAAAAGCCUGUUACAAUACAAAGCG
Molecule: non-coding RNA, 697 nt
Organism: Pelobates cultripes (western spadefoot toad)
Lineage: Eukaryota; Metazoa; Chordata; Amphibia; Anura; Pelobatidae
Source: the annotation of a GenBank genome assembly